CACGACGCUCAUCCGAUGGGUCAAUGUGAAGCUGGGUAAGGUGUGUGCGCCUAGGGGCAAGCACAGGGAGGGUGCUUAACGGUUAAAUAUAUGCACUGUUAAUAUGCUAAUGUUUCUUUCCCUACAGCACAAAAGGCAUUUCUUAAGAGCGCCCAAUUAAAGAAAA
Long non-coding RNA from Herpailurus yagouaroundi (jaguarundi), 166 nucleotides. RefSeq lists it as uncharacterized. The transcript has 3 exons. The record is from RefSeq and is a predicted model, not a curated record. NCBI's taxonomy places the organism in Eukaryota, Metazoa, Chordata, Mammalia, Carnivora, Felidae.